UACGGAGGGUGCAAGCGUUACUCGGAAUCACUGGGCGUAAAGAGCGCGUAGGCGGGAUAGCAAGUCAGAUGUGAAAUCCUAUGGCUUAACCAUAGAACUGCAUUUGAAACUGUUAUUCUAGAGUAUGGGAGAGGUAGGUGGAAUUCCUAGUGUAGCGGUGAAAUGCGUAGAUAUUAGGAGGAACACCAGUGGCGAAGGCGGCCUGCUGGACGACAACUGACGGUGAGGCGCGAAAGCGUGGGUAGCGAACAGG
Molecule: ribosomal RNA, 253 nt
Filed under: uncultured Helicobacteraceae bacterium
Lineage: Bacteria; Pseudomonadati; Campylobacterota; Epsilonproteobacteria; Campylobacterales; Helicobacteraceae
Description: partial 16S ribosomal RNA
Rfam family: Bacterial small subunit ribosomal RNA
Source: RNAcentral